This 483-nucleotide ribosomal RNA is filed under the name uncultured fungus. Its description in RNAcentral is "eukaryotic LSU rRNA". The stretch from base 50 to 203 matches the Rfam family "5.8S ribosomal RNA". Lineage: Eukaryota; Fungi. The record is from RNAcentral.
AACGCUUCAGUCAAAUGAAUGUAUCUCUGCGGAUAACGCAUCUAUAUACAACUUUCAGCAACGGAUCUCUUGGCUCUCGCAUCGAUGAAGAACGCAGCGAAAUGCGAUAAGUAAUGUGAAUUGCAGAAUUCAGUGAAUCAUCGAAUCUUUGAACGCACCUUGCGCUCCUUGGUAUUCCGAGGAGCAUGCCUGUUUGAGUAUCAUGGAAUUCUCAACUCCCCAGUUUUCUUAAUCGGAAGCUGCGGUGAGCUUGGACUUGGAGGUUGUGUCGGUCUUUCUCUUCAAGACCGACUCCUCUGAAAUGCAUUAGCGUGAAUCUUAUGGAUCACCUUCAACGUGAUAAUUGUCUGCGUUGUGGUCGUGUGAAGUACUUGUGCAUUCAUGCUUACAGUCAGUCGUCUCUUCGAGAGACCACUCUUUGACUUCUGAUCUCAAAUCAGGUAGGACUACCCGCUGAACUUAAGCAUAUCAAUAAGCGGAGGA